GGCGGGUGGGAGGAUUUUAUUUUUAAAAUUUUAUUUAAUAUGAAACCUUCUUGUAACGUGAACUUCAUAUAUAUGCAAGUGUUUACUUAAACUAGAGGCUCUCAAGAGCCGGUGUCGCUCACCUUGGUCUAUGUGCAUAUUCAACAAUGGACAAAGAUAAAUUCAUGACAAAAUUGUGUUUUGGUGAUCAUGAUGUGUUUGUAGAUCUUACUUUACUGGACAUUCUUCUUGCUACAAUCAUCUCUAUCUAUAAUGAACUUGGCCCAGUAAUUACAGUGGAAAAUAUAUACUAAAAAUUUACAAAAAUUUACAAAAAUUUAUGAAAAUUGUUAAAAAAUGACUAUAAAGGGCAAUAACUCCUUAAGGGGUAAACUGACGAUUUUGGUCAUGUUGACUUAUUUGUAGAUCUUACUUUGCUGAACAUUAUUGCUGUUUACAGUUUAUCUCUAUCUAUUAUAAUAUUCAAGAUAAUAACCAAAAACUGCCAAAUUUCCUUAAAAUUACUAAUUCUGGAGCAGCAACCCAACAACAGGUUGUCUGUUUUGCCUGAAAAUUUCACGGCAGAUAGAUCUUGACCUGAUUAACAAUUUAUCCCCUGUCAGAUUUGCUCUAAAUGCUUUGGUUUCAGAGAUAUAAGCCAAAAUCUACAUUUCGCCCCUAUGUACUAUUUUUAGCCAUGGCGGCCAUCUUGGUUGGUUGGCAGGGUCACGCCACACAUUUUUAAAACUAGAUACCCAAAUGAUGA
This 745-nucleotide long non-coding RNA is filed under the name Mytilus galloprovincialis (Mediterranean mussel). The record is from RNAcentral. Lineage: Eukaryota; Metazoa; Mollusca; Bivalvia; Mytilida; Mytilidae.